GAUGAAGAACGCAGCGAAAUGCGAUAAGUAAUGUGAAUUGCAGAAUUCAGUGAAUCAUCGAAUCUUUGAACGCACAUUGCGCCCGCCAGUAUUCUGGCGGGCAUGCCUGUUCGAGCGUCAUUUCAACCCUCAGGCCCCCAGUGCCUGGCGUUGGGGAUCGGCCUUUACCCGGGCCGGGGACUUCGGUCCCUGAACCCGGGCGGCCGGCCCCGAAAUCUAGUGGCGGUCUCGCUGUAGUCCUCCUCUGCGUAGUAGCACAACCUCGCAGUUGGAACGCGGCGGUGGCCAUGCCGUUAAACACCCCACUUCUGAAAGUUGACCUCGGAUCAGGUAGGAAUACCCGCUGAACUUAAGCAUAUCAAUAAGCGGAGGA
This 373-nucleotide unclassified non-coding RNA is filed under the name soil metagenome. RNAcentral's name for it is "partial contains 5.8S ribosomal RNA, internal transcribed spacer 2, and large subunit ribosomal RNA". The stretch from base 1 to 120 matches the Rfam family "5.8S ribosomal RNA", at positions 35 to 154 of the family's 154-position model. The record is from RNAcentral.